RNAcentral lists this ribosomal RNA (291 nucleotides) under uncultured bacterium. RNAcentral describes it as "partial 16S ribosomal RNA". It matches the Rfam family "Bacterial small subunit ribosomal RNA", at positions 505 to 796 of the family's 1533-position model. The record is from RNAcentral.
GUGCAGCCGCCGCGGUAAUACGGAGGGUGCAAGCGUUGUCCGGAAUCACUGGGUGUAAAGGGUGUGCAGGCGGGGCAACAAGUCGGAGGUGAAAGCCCAUGGCUCAACCAUGGAAGUGCCUUCGAAACUGUUGCUCUUGAGUCCCGGAGAGGUUGUCGGAAUUCGUGGUGUAGCGGUGAAAUGCGUAGAUAUCACGAGGAACACCAGAGGCGAAAGCGGACAACUGGACGGGUACUGACACUGAGGCACGAAAGCGUGGGGAGCAAACAGGAUUAGAUACCCUAGUAGUCC